CUCGGCCACGCCAAGGCCUCCAGCGCUCGCCCCCUUCUCUGCUUCCCACGAGCAGGGAGCCUUUCUUCUCCCGGGAAAACCACAUCCGUUCAUCCUCAGCCAUGGCCGACCUCCGUAGCUUCUUUGCCGGUGCUGCUCCUCCCAUGGUUGCCUUCUUCCCCACUACCGGCCACCGUUCAUGCAGUGCCUAGACGCUUGGAGCUCGGCACAACUCCCUCCCAAGGCCGAGGGCCCCCUUUCCCAGCCAUGGAGCCGAAACUCCAAUCUCCUCCCUGCUGUUCGCGUGCUGAAAUUGAGGUAGAAGAAGACCCCCCUGAGUCUAUGACAGGUGGGCCCAAGGC
RNAcentral lists this unclassified non-coding RNA (341 nucleotides) under Zea mays. RNAcentral's name for it is "misc RNA Zm00001eb364240". The record is from RNAcentral. Lineage: Eukaryota; Viridiplantae; Streptophyta; Magnoliopsida; Poales; Poaceae.